This 253-nucleotide ribosomal RNA is filed under the name uncultured bacterium. RNAcentral's name for it is "partial 16S ribosomal RNA". It matches the Rfam family "Bacterial small subunit ribosomal RNA", at positions 524 to 776 of the family's 1533-position model. The record is from RNAcentral.
UACGAAGGGGGCUAGCGUUGCUCGGAAUUACUGGGCGUAAAGGGCGCGUAGGCGGAUAGUUUAGUCAGAGGUGAAAGCCCAGGGCUCAACCUUGGAACUGCCUUUGAUACUGGCUAUCUUGAGUUCGGGAGAGGUGAGUGGAAUGCCGAGUGUAGAGGUGAAAUUCGUAGAUAUUCGCAAGAACACCAGUGGCGAAGGCGGCUCACUGGCCCGGUACUGACGCUGAGGUGCGAAAGCGUGGGGAGCAAACAGG